GAUGAACGCUGGCGGCGUGCUUAACACAUGCAAGUCGAACGAAGCACUUUAUUUGAUUUCCUUCGGGACUGAUUAUUUUGUGACUGAGUGGCGGACGGGUGAGUAACGCGUGGGUAACCUGCCUUGUACAGGGGGACAACAGUUGGAAACGGCUGCUAAUACCGCAUAAGCGCACGGCAUCGCAUGAUGCAGUGUGAAAAACUCCGGUGGUAUAAGAUGGACCCGCGUUGGAUUAGCUAGUUGGUGAGGUAACGGCCCACCAAGGCGACGAUCCAUAGCCGACCUGAGAGGGUGACCGGCCACAUUGGGACUGAGACACGGCCCAAACUCCUACGGGAGGCAGCAGUGGGGAAUAUUGCACAAUGGGCGAAAGCCUGAUGCAGCGACGCCGCGUGAGCGAAGAAGUAUUUCGGUAUGUAAAGCUCUAUCAGCAGGGAAGAUAAUGACGGUA
This 451-nucleotide ribosomal RNA is filed under the name uncultured bacterium. Its description in RNAcentral is "bacterial SSU rRNA". It matches the Rfam family "Bacterial small subunit ribosomal RNA", at positions 28 to 477 of the family's 1533-position model. The record is from RNAcentral.